Molecule: RNA transcript, 11116 nt
Organism: Physeter macrocephalus (sperm whale)
Lineage: Eukaryota; Metazoa; Chordata; Mammalia; Artiodactyla; Physeteridae
Gene: AKAP6
Gene name: A-kinase anchoring protein 6
Exons: 15
Source: RefSeq, a predicted model, not a curated record
UCCACUGGAAAUGCAGCAAGGAUUCCUAGCACAUCCCAGUUGCCAUAGCAACAGCAGUCUUUCCCAUAAUGAGCUGCAUCAUCUGAACUGAUGUCACAGCAUCAUGCAGCAGGUCAAACAAGGCAUCUCCUAGUAUUGCAUCCUACAGAUGUGCUGUAAACAUCAAAAGAAGGCGGUGGGAGCAGGAGAUGCUGUUUUGGAAAGAAGUAAGGCUUAGACUUCUCCAUGUUAACCAUGAGCGUGACACUUUCCCCUCUGAGGUCACAGGACCUGGAUCCCAUGGCUACUGAUGCUUCACCCAUGGCCAUCAACUUGACACCCACUGUGGAGCAGGGUGAGGAAGAAGAGGCGAUGAAAGACAUGGAUUCUGACCAGCAGUAUGAAAAGCCACCCCCACUGCAUACAGGGGCCGACUGGAAGAUUGUCCUCCACUUACCUGAAAUUGAGACCUGGCUCCGGAUGACCUCAGAGAGGGUCCGAGACCUAACCUAUUCAGUCCAGCAGGACUCGGACAGCAAGCAUGUGGAUGUGCAUCUAGUUCAACUAAAGGACAUUUGUGAAGAUAUUUCUGAUCAUGUUGAGCAAAUCCAUGCCCUCCUUGAAACGGAGUUCUCCCUGAAGCUGCUAUCCUACUCCGUCAACGUGAUUGUGGACAUCCACGCGGUGCAGCUCCUCUGGCACCAGCUCCGUGUCUCAGUGCUGGUUCUGCGAGAGCGCAUUCUGCAAGGUCUGCAGGACGCCAAUGGCAACUACACCAGACAGACGGACAUUCUGCAAGCUUUCUCUGAAGAGACAAAUGAGGACCGGCUUGAUGCUCUAACAGAAGUGGAUGACUCAGGACAGUUAACUAUCAAAUGCUCGCAGAAUUACUUGUCUCUGGAUUGUGGCAUUACUGCUUUCGAACUGUCUGACUACAGUCCAAGUGAGGAUUUGCUCAGUGGCCUGGGUGAUAUGACCUCUAGCCAGGUCAAAACCAAACCCUUUGACUCUUGGAGCUACAGUGAAAUGGAAAAGGAGUUCCCUGAGCUUAUCCGAAGUGUUGGGUUACUUACGGUGGCUCCUGACGCGGUCCCUUCCAACUGCAGAGAAGCAGUUAGUGAGGAGGCGUCUCAAGUGUCUCUUGCAGCAGAUGACAGAGGUGGAUGUGAGGAAAACAGUGCGGCCACACUGGAGGAGCAGCCAGGCUUAACGCAGGGGCUGUCAUCUUCAGGGGAAGCUCUGACAAGUGCUGGACAACCCUCUUUGGAGACUGUGAAGCAAGAAUCUGAUUCCUCUUCCCAACUUGGGGCAAAGAAUCAACAGCCUCUUCCUUGUGAAAAUGCAACCCCCAAGCGAUCCAUCAGAGAUUGCUUUAAUUAUAACGAGGACUCUCCCACACAGCCCACGUUGCCAAAAAGAGGGCUUUUCCUUAAAGACGAGACUUUUAAGAACAAUCUGAAAGGCACUAGUGGAAAGAAGCAGAUGGUUGAUCUCAAGCCUGAGAUGAGCAGGAGCACCCCCUCCCUGGUGGACCCUCGUGACAGAUCCAAGCUUCACCUGGUGUUACAGUCUCCUUACCCCAACAGACCUUCUGCGGCCAGCUACUCGUAUGAGUGUUUGCACAGGGUGGGGGAUGGGAAUCUUGAAAACACAGUCAAAAGUCACGUUAAGGAGAUCUCCUCCAGCCUGGGGACGCUUAAUGACAGCCAUAAAGAGAAGCUUCGACUUAAAAAGCCUCACAAGACCGCAGAAGAGGUGCCUUCAUGCCAGACACCACCUAAACGGGAACCCAGUUCAGGCAAGCAAGCCCAAAACACUAGGAGCUCAGUAGUGCCGAAUGGAAUUCCUUCUAGUACUUCCAAGGCCAUAGAGGGGCCAGAAACAGAUUCUGCUUCCGCAUCCUCACUUGAGCAGUAUAACCAGAGUGGUUGGAAUGCCAAAUUGCCAGUGCAGUCAGAAACAUCCAGUUCACCACCUUUUAGUCAAAGCAGUGAGUCCUCUGCUGGCUCAGACAACGUCAUGUCUCCGGUACCCCUUCUUUCAGAACACAAAAGCAAAAAAAGCUACACCUCCUCCCCAAGUCACGUCACCAGGAACGGUCGGGUUGUGGAGGCCUGGUAUGGCUCUGAUGAGUACCUAGCACUGCCCUCUCACCUUAAGCAGACAGAAGUAUUAGCUUUGAAGUUGGAAAACCUAACAAAGCUUCUGCCUCAGAAACCCAGGGGAGAAACCAUUCAGAAUAUUGAUGACUGGGAACUGUCUGAAAUGAAUUCAGAUUCUGAGAUCUAUCCAACAUACCAUGUCAAGAAGAAGCAUACAAGGCUAGGCAGGGUGUCUCCAAGCUCAUCCAGUGAUAUAGCCUCUUCACUCGGGGAGAGCAUUGAAUCUGGCCCCCUUAGUGACCUUCCUUCCGACGAGGAGUUGUGCGUGCCUCUCUCUGGCAUGAAAAAAUACAUUGAUGAGAAGUCAGAGAGAGCUUCAUCCUCUGAGAAAAAUGAGAGCCAUUCCACUACAAAGUCUGCUUUAAUUCAGAAACUGAUGCAAGAUAUUCAACACCAAGACAACUAUGAAGCCAUAUGGGAAAAAAUAGAGGGGUUUGUAAACAAGCUGGAUGAAUUUAUUCAAUGGUUAAACGAAGCCAUGGAAACCACUGAGAAUUGGACACCUCCCAAAGCAGAGACGGAUGGCCUUAAACUGUACCUGGAGACGCACUUGAGUUUUAAGUUGAAUGUAGACAGUCAUUGUGCUCUCAAGGAAGCUGUGGAGGAGGAAGGACUCCAACUUCUCGAGCUUAUUGCAUCUCACAAAGCAGAAGGACUAAAGGACAUGCUGCGGAUGAUAGCAAGUCAAUGGAAGGAGCUGCAGAGGCAAAUCAAACGCCAACACAGCUGGAUUCUCAGGGCUCUGGAUACCAUCAAAGCUGCGAUUCUGGCUACUGAUGUGUCUGUGGAGGGUGAGGAAGGGACGGGAAGCCCCAAGGCUGAGGUUCAACUAUGCUACCUGGAAGCACAAAGAGAUGCUGUUGAGCAGAUGUCCCUCAAGCUGUACAGCGAGCAGUACACCAGCAGCAGCAAGAGGAAAGAAGAGUUUGCUGACAUGUCAAAAGUUCAUUCAGUAGGAGGCAAUGGGCUUCUGGACUUUGAUUCAGAAUAUCAGGAGCUCUGGGAUUGGCUGAUUGACAUGGAGUCCCUCGUGAUGGACAGUCACGACCUGAUGAUGUCAGAGGAACAGCAGCAGCAUCUUUACAAGCGAUACAGUGUGGAAAUGUCCAUCAGGGACCUGAAAAAGACGGAGCUGCUUAGUAAGGUUGAAGCUUUGAAGAAAGGUGGCGUUUUACUACCAAAUGAUCUCCUUGAAAAAGUGGAUUCAAUUAAUGAAAAAUGGGAACUGCUUGGGAAAACCCUAGGAGAGAAGAUCCAGGACACAAUGGCAGGGCACAGUGGGUCGGGUGCACGUGACCUGCUCUCUCCUGAAAGCGGAAGCCUGGUAAGGCAGCUGGAGGUCAGGAUCAAAGAACUGAAAGGGUGGCUAAGAGAUACAGAGCUUUUCAUCUUCAAUUCCUGUCUGAGACAAGAAAAGGAAGGAACAAUGAAUGCUGAGAAACAACUGCAAUACUUUAAGUCCCUCUGUUGUGAAAUAAAGCAGCGACGUCGUGGAGUGGCCUCCAUCCUGCGAUUAUGCCAACAUCUUCUGGAUGACCGGGAGACCUGCAAUCUGAACGCGGACCACCAGCCCAUGCAGUUGAUCAUUGUAAAUCUUGAAAGAAGGUGGGAAGCCAUUGUCAUGCAAGCCGUCCAGUGGCAAACACGGCUACAAAAGAAGAUGGGAAAGGAACCUGAGACUUUGAAUGUGAUUGAUCCUGGCUUGAUGGACCUAAAUGGGACAAGUGAGGAUGCCCUGGAAUGGGAUGAAACUGACAUAAGUAACAAGUUAAUUAGUUUGAAUGAAGAAUCGAAUGACCUUGAUCAAGAAUCCCAACCUGUCUUGCCUCCCUUAAAGCUUGAAGAGACAGGUAGUGAGGACCCUGGUUAUGAAGAAGAGGCAGGUGACCACGGGGCACCUCAGUGUGCAUCGAGUAUCACUGCCCCGUCCAGUCCACACAUUUACCAAGUAUACAGCCUCCACAAUGUUGAGCUCUAUGAAGACAACCACAUCCCAUUCCUGAAAAACAAUCCGAACUUCACUAGCAUGACACAGUCUAGUGUUUUAACUAAGAGUCUCAGUAAAGACUCUUCAUUUUCAUCUGCCAAAUCUUUGCCAGAUCUUCUAGGGGGUUCCAAUUUGGUGAAGCCCUGCCCAUGCCACGGAGGAGACAUGAGUCAAAAUUCAGGCAGUGAGAGUGGAAUUGUCAGUGAAGGAGACACUGAAACCACUACCAACUCUGAAAUGUGCUUGCACAAUGUGGUGGAUGGGUCCCCAAGUAACCCUGAAACUGAACAUCUGGACCCACAAAUGGGAGAUUCAGUUAACGUGUUAAAGCAAAAGUUUAAAGAUGAGGAGGAACAAAUUAAGCUUCCAAAUAGCUCUCAGUUAUCCAUUUCACCAGUCGGUUGUGUAAAUGGAAAAGUUGGAGAUUUAAACAGUGUUACCAAACAUACCCCUGAUUGUUUGGGAGAAGAAUUACAAGGAAAACAUGAUGUGUUUACAUUUUAUGAUUACUCGUACCUCCAAGGCUCAAAACUCAAAUUACCAAUGAUAAUGAAACAGUCACAAAGUGAAAAAGCACAUGUGGAGGAUCCCCUGCUUCAUGGUUUUUAUUUUGAUAAAAAAUCCUGCAAAUCUAAACAUCAGGCUACAGAGUUACAACCAGAUGCACCUCCCCAUGAAAGGAUUUUGGCAAGUGCAUCUCAUGAAAUGGAUCGCAAUUCAUAUAAAAGUGGUGAUGUAGAGAAGACAUUCACUGGCAUGCAGAAUGCCAAACAGCUCUCCCUUUUAUCUCAUAGUUCCUCUAUUGAGUCUCUUUCUCCAGGGGGUGAUUUAUUUGCAUUGGGCAUCUUUAAAAAUGGCAGUGACAGCCUCCAGCGAAGCACUUCUUUAGAAAGUUGGUUGACAUCCUAUAAAAGCAAUGAAGAUCUUUUUAGCUGUCACAGCUCUGGUGACAUAAGCGUGAGCAGUGGCUCAGUUGGUGAACUGAGUAAAAGAACAUUAGAUCUCCUGAAUCGUUUGGAGAAUAUCCAGAGCCCUUCGGAGCAAAAGAUAAAGCGAAGUGUUUCCGAUAUCACUCUUCAAAGCUCUUCCCAAAAGAUGUCUUUUCCUGGCCAACUGUCAUUGGACAGAGCAUCUUCUAUCAAUGAAGACUCGCCAGCAUCUCUUACAGAACUUAGCAGCAGUGAUGAGCUCUCUCUUUGCUCAGAGGAUAUUGUGUUACACAAGAACAAGAUCCCGGAAUCAAAUGCAUCAUUCAGGAAGCGCCUGCCUCGUUCGGUGGCCGAUGAAAGUGAUGUCAAUGUCAGCAUGAUCGUGAAUGUCUCUUGCACCUCUGCGUGCACUGAUGAUGAAGAUGACAGUGACCUCCUCUCCAGCUCGACGCUCACCUUGACAGAAGAAGAACUAUGCAUCAAAGAUGAGGAUGACGACUCCAGUAUUGCAACAGAUGAUGAAAUUUAUGAAGAGUGCAACUUGAUGUCAGGGCUGGACUAUAUAAAGAAUGAGCUGCAGACCUGGAUUAGACCGAAGUUUUCCUUGACAAGAGAUAAGAGAAGGUGUAAUCUCAGUGAUGAAAUAAAGGGCAGUAAGGAUGUAAGUAGUAGUGAGAUGAACAAUUCCUCUGACACCCUGAACAUUGAGGCCCUUCUAAAUGGCUCCAUAAAACAUCUCUCCGAAAAUAAUGGAAAUAGUAAGAAUUUACCCCACACCUGUGAGUUAGGGACAAAGGGUGAAAAUAAGAAAAAUAUUUUCAAAGUUAAUAAAGAUCCAUAUGUGGCAGACAUGGAAAAUGGCAAUAUUGAAAGUAUUCCAGAAAGGCAGAAGGACAAACUGAAUGAGAUUUCAAAGGAAUCAGAAAAUCUUGGUUCAACUGGGAAAAGGAUUUCAGAGAGUGAGCAUUGUGAGUACCAAGCAUUUAUGGAUAGCUCAGAUGAUUCAAAUAUUGCUGGAAAGGAAUUUGUUCCCCAGAUGGUUAGACAUGUUCCAAAGAAAUGUCAAAAUCACCACCAUUUUGAAAAUCAAAAUGCUGCUUCUACUCCCACUGAGAAGUCUUGUCCAGAACUGCCUUCAGAAACCAGUGUUAUCAAUAGACAGGAUUCUGAGGUACUGAAAUCUUCAUCUAAUGAUACACCAAAUAUGGCUGGAAAAUCUGCUGGUUGCUGCCUAGCACUUGAACAAAAUGAAACAGAGGAAAAUGUUUCUAUCAGUGACAACAUUUCCUGUUGCAACUGUGACCCAGAUGUUUUCCAUCAAAAAGAUGCCGAAGAUUGUUCAGUACACGACUUUGUUAAGGAAAUCAUUGACAUGGCUUCAACAGCCCUAAAAUGUAAAUCUCAACCUGAAAAUGAGGCAGCUGCUCCUACUUCAUUAACUCAAAUCAAGGAGAAGGUGCUGGAACAUUCUCACCGGCCCAUCCAGCUGAGAAAGGGGGACUUUUAUUCAUACUUAUCUCUCUCAUCUCAUGACAGUGAUUGCGGGGAGGUCACCAAUUACAUAGAAGAGAAGAGCAACACUCCACUGCCACCGGACAUGACUGACUCUGGCUCAGAAGACAAGGAAGACACCGAAUGCUUCUUCGAGGCCUGUGUUGAGGAGGACCCUGCUGAAUACCAGUCCUGUUUCUCCAGCACUCUUCCAAAUGAACCUGCAGUUCCCAGUGAAGCUCCAGUUUCACUGCAAGCAGCUGCAGGCUCUUCCAAGUUCAGUGAUACUUCUCUCCUCGUCGAUGAUGCAGACAUGAUGGCUCUUUCAGGUCCUCCCCCUCCGAAAAGAGGUGAUGUAGGAAAGGAAGUGGAUGGUUUACCCCAAGCUUCUAAUGUCUAUGGAGAAAGCUCAGAGUUAACUACUCCUUCAAGGCUGAGCAGUGAAAAGGAGAGUUCAGAAAACCCAGGUGAGUCUGGAAGGCCAGAAGAACAUGAUGCUUCUUCAGCCCAAUCUAGAGUUCCUGGAUUCUCCUCGAAGGCAAAGCAGCCAAAAGACAUGGCUGCAUUGCAUCCCAACCCCAAAACUUUAACCUGUGAAGAAAAUCUUCUGAACCUUCAUGAAGAACGACAUAGAAAUAUGCAUAGGUAGAAUGUAACCCUCUCCAAGCAUGAAAAUCAUCUCAUUGAAAGACUCUAUUUACAAUUGGUUGCAAGGGAGAACAAAAGUAGGAGAGAGAGAAAUGUAUUUUCUGUGAAACAUGUCCACCCUAUAACCACAUUCUCUAUCAGUAUGCAGUAAAACUGACCAGCAAGGGAGAACAACUGCAAUUCCAUAAGCUGCUUCAAAACAAGUUCUAUUAGAACCAAUUGUACCGCCGGCUCUGCUAACCUCCGCAAAAGGGCUGGUAGAGCCUGGCUGAUUUUUAUUUUCUGAAAGGGGAUCAAGGCUUGAAAGCAACACCACUCUGAGCACGACAUCAUGUGACUGUGACCCUCAAGUCACCAAUCAUGCUGAGAUCCGGUUUCAAGAAGCUCUGGCACUGGAGAAGCCUAUGGGGUGCACUCCUCCCUUUUUGAUGCUCCGGGGAUUUCUUCUCUCCCCUACACAGAUACAGAAUUGGAAUGAAAUGUAAGCCUGGCUGCAACUCAGGGGUGGCCUCAUAUUUCCGCCCUGGGCUGGUCUCUGGUUCCAUCGUGUCACUGCCAUUUGUUACAUUGACCUCUCCCAAGAUGAAUCUUUCUUCCGAAUGCGGUUGUCCACAUGAGCCUUGUGAUCUGGAUGUGUGCACUGGUUCUCUUUAGGUGGUUGUCUUUGAAGUUCAGCAAAGCUGCUUGUUCUCCCGUGGAUUCCUGUCCCAAGCUACCUCUACCGACCCCACCUCUCCAGAGAGACUUUUCAGUUUGCCUUCUCCCCUCCCCAUCUACUCUCUCAAAUUCUGCAGUUCACCAAAUUGAUGGUCCAUUAAAUUCACCUGUCUGGAAUGACCCCCUGCUGGUACUUGACCAAUUUCAUGUUUCAGUCUGGAUUUUUUUUUAUGGUAUGAUGCCUACGUUCGUGGAAAGAGGUUUACGUAAAAGGCCAACAUUUGAUUUGAUUGCAGCAUAGAGAAGAAAAACUGGCCCUUCUUUCAAAAUUAAGCAACUUUUAAAAGCGCCAUUUUGUUUAUUUCCUUUUAAAAAUAAUAAUCUAUGCAGCACUUCAGGAAACAACUAUAUGGUGUUGUAUAUUAUAAACUGGUGACAUUCUACUAUUAAAUCAUGUAGAACAUUUUUGUUUUUUAUGCUUCUUGAGGUGGCAAUGAGAAAAAAGUUUUUUAAAAAAGUGUGCCUUGCUGUAUUUCUUAUACCAUUUAUUAAAAAGCUGCUUUCACGGUAAAAUUAUGUUGGUUUGAAAGGAGGAAAUAGCAAGGUUAAGAUGUGUGAAUAAUUUCUGUAUAUAUGUAUAACCAAGUACAAACACUGAUGUAUAAUGACAGUAUAAAAUGCUUUCAUUUUUGUGAUGUCUAGUGAUGUGGAAAAUAUAAGCCUUAAAUCCAUUAGAUUGCAUGGUAAUUAAAAUUGGCAUAAUAAACAUAGUUUAUUGGGGGAAAAGGAAAAUUAGUGAUCUCUUCUACCUGUGUUCUUUACCAAAUUAUUGCAUCUGGUUCUGGAAAAAUGUGACAUGUAGCAGCUUCCAAAAUAUCCAUAUCGUAUAAGAGACUUAAAAUUACUUAAACCACACAUGAUGCUGUCACAGUUUCCAAAGUCUUUCUGGUAACUAUAAAGAUCUUGGAACACAAAUGAUUAAAUGCCAGUUCCCCUAAACCAAUAAAAAUUUAUCCUAGAUAUUUUAUUUCUACUUAUCAUUAAUGGUUUAGUGUUGGGUUUCAGGAUACCUAGUAUAUCUUGUAUUUAUUUUAUAUAAUUAUUUUGAAUGGGUUUGAUGGAAAGAUGGUAGAGAAGUAUAAAAAAGUUGAUUAUUUUUUGAUUUAGACUAUAGAUUUCAGGUGUAUUUAUUUUGUGUAAAAGAAAUUAGCUAAGAAAUAUUCCAUUUAGUCUUUACUGCUCUUGUUAAAUGUAGUUUUGAAUUUAUAUCCUAAUACCUACUAAAGUGCCUGACACAUAGUAGGUACUGAAUAAAAAUUUGCUGAAUUGAAGUAUUGAAUUAGGUAAUAUGGAUGACAUUUAUCUAUUCAUUUUGAGAAACCUACACUAAAACACUUAUAAAAAAUUAGAAAAAUGAUGAAAUGCAAUAUAAAACCAUACAAUAUAUAAUCAGUUUAUAUCAAAUUUCAAAAAGAAAUAAUGUAGAUUCAGAUAGUCACAGUAAUGACAAUCAUUCAUUCAACUGAUAAUUCAUUAACAUCUUUUACCUGCAAGGCAUUGUUCUAGAUGCAGGGGAUGCAAUGAUGAACAAGCAAAAGCCCUGCCCCCAGGAGGCUUACCUACAUUAUGGACGAGGUGAACACACAGUGAGAUUCAGUAGUUGUCCUGUACAUGAGGAAGAGAACAAAGCAGUGAAAGAGGCACAAAGACAGAAACAGCAAUGAAGGACAAGGAGGAAAAAAAGGGUUAAAAGAGAGCCGGAAGUUAGACAGUAGAAAAUAGUGCAGCUUUAUUGCAGGAAUAGUAGGAGAAACAGUAAAUUGUGAGACUUAAUGAAGGAUCUUUUAAAAUGUUAGGUUGGAGCUUUUGUAUGUAAUAUGCUAAGUAGUAAGGAAACUUUGUAUCAUCUUUGUUUUGCACCUGAUUUUAUUUAUGAUUAGAACUUUAUUAGUACCACACCAAGAACAUUUAAAAAAUAAUAGCCUAUAGUUCUGCCACUUAAUAACUAUUUGUAUUGUUAUGCCUCUUCUAAUCUUUUCCAUACAUAUUUCUAAAUUGAUGAAUCAUUCUAGGCUUUUUAAUGGGUAGCAAUUUGUUCAAAAGGGGUUUUAGGCAGACAUCUAGCUGCAGUAUUCAAAACGAUUACAGGGGAAAGAGAUUAGAGGUAAAUGCCUCGUUAGGAGGCAGCUGUAGAAAAUAAGCUAGGCUCGAGAUGAUCACAGAGUACACAGUGUUGGCAGCCCAGGCCAUAGAGAAGGAACAAAUCCUAGAGUCUCUGAAAUACCUAAGAGCAUUCUGGAGCUCCGUUGAGGUACAGUAUCACUUUAUAUACUGAGACAACCUAAAUUUUCCUUGGGUAGUAAUUAACAAUGCCAAGUCUAAGUCUAUUGGUAAAACAUUUGAAGAGCAAACUGACUGAGAUGUUCUAUUUACCUGUUGUGUGCUCAUUGAAGACUUUGAGGUAUUGAAAAUAUGCGUUUUUUAAUUAUCUGCUUAGUAUUAACACCAAAUUUGUAGCAUGACUUUCCGGUUUAUUGAACAGUGCUUUUUCAGGCUGGAAGUGGUGGAAUAGCCUCAGUCCUUCACUCUAGGUAGGCACGACCCCCCCUACCCCCCACCAGGCCGCCUUGAAAAUGGUCACACCAACUCUGCCUACACACUUUCAGUGACAGUGGUUCAUUGUCUGUCAAGGCAAGCUUUCCCACCGUUGGAUGUGUCUCUUUGUUAGAAAGUUAUUUCUUAGGUUGCUAAAAUCUGCAUAGUUCUGCCUUCCCCUCGCCUUUAAUUUUGCUCAGUGGUCCUAGUUCUGUCCUGAUGAGCCGCUCAGAGUAUUUCUGCUCCUUUCUCCUGGCAACCCUGAAGAGAGAGACCAGUUAGUCACCCUCUCCCAGCUGCUGUGAUUUCUGUUCUUCAGUUCCCUCCACCACCCUUCAUUUGUCAUGAUUUUCAGAUCCAUUUAAACCUGACUGAAUGUUAAGAGGCAGUAUCCUUGAAACUGAGGAACUGUCUUGCUCAUCAUACAUGUAGAAAAAUAUCCGAACAUUUAAGUGGUAAGUUUUCUCUCAAAAUAUAUCCAAGAUAUAUGUUUAUUCUAUUAUUGUAAAUUUCAAUAAAUAAAUAAAUAAGUAAAUAAAUAAGAAUUCAUUACUUCCUUCAGUGGCCCAGUCCAGUGCUGGAGUCAUGUUGAAUCCUUUCCUUACGUCAAAUCUGAACCUAACCUGUUUCCAUAUAAAGCAGGGUCCCCCCACUCCAUUUAUUCAUCC